This 85-nucleotide microRNA precursor is filed under the name Scleropages formosus (Asian bonytongue). RNAcentral's name for it is "mir-363 microRNA precursor family". It matches the Rfam family "mir-363 microRNA precursor family". Lineage: Eukaryota; Metazoa; Chordata; Actinopteri; Osteoglossiformes; Osteoglossidae. The record is from Rfam by way of RNAcentral.
GCUGUUUUCGGGUGGAUGACCUUGCAAUUUUGGUUUUUCCAUUAAGGUUCUAAAAAAAUUGCACGGUAUCCAUCUGUAAUCCGCC